This 635-nucleotide ribosomal RNA is filed under the name uncultured bacterium. Its description in RNAcentral is "bacterial SSU rRNA". It matches the Rfam family "Bacterial small subunit ribosomal RNA", at positions 83 to 714 of the family's 1533-position model. The record is from RNAcentral.
ACCUGGCGGCGAGUGGCGAACGGGUGAGUAAUAUAUCGGAACGUACCCAAGAGUGGGGGAUAACGUAGCGAAAGUUACGCUAAUACCGCAUACGAUCUAAGGAUGAAAGCAGGGGACCGCAAGGCCUUGUGCUCCUGGAGCGGCCGAUAUCUGAUUAGCUAGUUGGUGGGGUAAAGGCCCACCAAGGCAUCGAUCAGUAGCUGGUCUGAGAGGACGACCAGCCACACUGGAACUGAGACACGGUCCAGACUCCUACGGGAGGCAGCAGUGGGGAAUUUUGGACAAUGGGCGCAAGCCUGAUCCAGCAAUGCCGCGUGAGUGAAGAGGGCCUUCGGGUUGUAAAGCUCUUUUGUCAGGGAAGAAACGGUGAAGGCUAAUAUCCUUUGCUAAUGACGGUACCUGAAGAAUAAGCACCGGCUAACUACGUGCCAGCAGCCGCGGUAAUACGUAGGGUGCAAGCGUUAAUCGGAAUUACUGGGCGUAAAGCGUGCGCAGGCGGUUUUGUAAGUUUGUCGUGAAAUCCCCGGGCUCAACCUGGGAAUGGCGAUGAAGACUGCAAGGCUAGAGUUUGGCAGAGGGGGGUAGAAUUCCACGUGUAGCAGUGAAAUGCGUAGAUAUGUGGAGGAACACCGAUG